RNAcentral lists this ribosomal RNA (492 nucleotides) under uncultured bacterium. RNAcentral describes it as "partial 16S ribosomal RNA". The record is from RNAcentral.
CUCCGACUUCAUGUGGGCGGGUUGCAGCCCACAAUCCGAACUGGGACCACUUUUUUGAGAUUAGCUCCCCCUUACGGUCUCGCUGCCCUCUGUAGUGGCCAUUGUAGCACGUGUGUAGCCCAGGUCAUAAGGGGCAUGAUGAUUUGACGUCGUCCCCACCUUCCUCCGAGUUGUCCCCGGCAGUCUUAUCAGAGUCCUCGGCUUUACCCGUUAGUAACUGAUCACAAGGGUUGCGCUCGUUGCGGGACUUAACCCAACAUCUCACGACACGAGCUGACGACAACCAUGCACCACCUGUCUCAGUAUGAGCAAGCUCACACCUGAUCUCUCAGGUUUUUACUGGAUGUCAAGACCUGGUAAGGUUCUUCGCGUUGCUUCGAAUUAAACCACAUGCUCCGCUGCUUGUGCGGGCCCCCGUCAAUUCCUUUGAGUUUCAACCUUGCGGCCGUACUCCCCAGGCGGAAUGCUUAUUGUGUUGACUCCGGCACAGAA